Molecule: long non-coding RNA, 858 nt
Organism: Seriola dumerili (greater amberjack)
Lineage: Eukaryota; Metazoa; Chordata; Actinopteri; Carangiformes; Carangidae
Exons: 3
Source: RefSeq, a predicted model, not a curated record
GCUCUUUAACCAUCACUGAUAUCACUGACCGUCUUAUCGCGGAGGUUGAAUGAAAUUAAAUGACUUUUUUUCUCUCUCUCUCUCUCUCUGGAUGGAUGGGAGCUGUUUUGGACGCUGACAGCAGGAGAGUCCGGGAACCCUGAACGAGUUUAGGUGUGGAACCGGCCGAGUUGUGAUAAUCAGAGUUUGGUUACCUGGACAAAGACCAUGAGAGCCAAACGUGUGAACAAUGGGUGCAGUGAAGGAGGAAAGUGAAAGGAAGAAAAGUACAUCAUGUCAGGGAGUUCAGAGUAAAUGGACGGCCUGUCGGCUCCAAAGUGCUGAAGCUCUGUAAAGUCAUUCCUGUGUUUUAGUGCAAACUUCCCUGAGGAGUCUUGUGUGUCAUCGGGACCUUGAGACACACCCACACACACACGCUGAUGUUGAGCCUCUCCCUCUCACAGUAGACCUGGCAGACCUCUAAUCUCUAAAAGAUUGAUGAGGUCCUGUCCAGGCGCAGGAGACCUGGCACAGUGUCGAUAAGGCAGCUUUCAUUUCAGCACAUUUUAUCCCUCACUCCUUCCUUUAUUCUCCUCUUUCCUUCAUACUGAGGGACACCGGGGGGCUGGCUGCGCAGCGGGAGAGAGGAUCAUGACAUGUCAAAGCCCUUGGGCAAGAAGGACAGUGUUUUUAAGAAACAGGAACCAUGAGAUGCUCCGGAAAUGACAGUUCUGUUUUCUUGGGUCACUCCAUCUUGGACAGCGGUGUGGUAGCUGAGCAGGAUGCCAGAGUCAGCAUGUCACUGUCAAACUGCUGGAGCUGUACUAUAGUGAAACUACAGAGAGACACACAGAGCUGAAAAUAGCUGAACACACUUCA